GACGAACGCUGGCGGCGUGCCUAUUACAUGCAAGUAGAACGCUGAAGGAGGAGCUUGCUCUUCUGGAUGAGUUGCGAACGGGUGAGUAACGCGUAGGUAACCUGCCUGGUAGCGGGGGAUAACUAUUGGAAACGAUAGCUAAUACCGCAUAACAGUAGAUGUUGCAUGACAUUAACUUAAAAGGUGCAAUUGCAUCACUACCAGAUGGACCUGCGUUGUAUUAGCUAGUUGGUGGGGUAACGGCUCACCAAGGCGACGAUACAUAGCCGACCUGAGAGGGUGAUCGGCCACACUGGGACUGAGACACGGCCCAGACUCCUACGGGAGGCAGCAGUAGGGAAUCUUCGGCAAUGGACGGAAGUCUGACCGAGCAACGCCGCGUGAGUGAAGAAGGGUUUCGGAUCGUAAAGCUCUGUUGUAAGAGAAGAACGAGUGUGAGAGUGGAAAGUUCACACUGUGACGGUAUCUUACCAGAAAGGGACGGCUAACUACGUG
Molecule: ribosomal RNA, 495 nt
Filed under: uncultured bacterium
Lineage: Bacteria
Description: partial 16S ribosomal RNA
Rfam family: Bacterial small subunit ribosomal RNA
Source: RNAcentral